UACGAACGCUGGCGGCGUGCUUAACACAUGCAAGUCGAGCGGUAAGGCCCUUUCGGGGGUACGACGAGCGGCGAACGGGUGAGUAACACGUGGGUGACCUGCCCUCCAGCUCUGGGAUAAAGCCUGGGAAACCGGGUCUAAUACUGGAUAUGACUCCAUGACGCAUGUUGUGGGGUGGAAAGCCUUGUGCGGCUGAGGAUGGGCCCGCGGCCUAUCAGCUUGUUGGUGGGGUGGAUGGCCUACCAAGGCGACGACGGGUAGCCGGCCUGAGAGGGCGACCGGCCACACUGGGACUGAGACACGGCCCAGACUCCUACGGGAGGGCAGCAGUGGGGAAUCUUGCGCAAUGGGCGAAAGCCUGACGCAGCGACGCCGCGUGAGGGAUGACGGCCUGU
Molecule: ribosomal RNA, 395 nt
Filed under: uncultured bacterium
Lineage: Bacteria
Description: bacterial SSU rRNA
Rfam family: Bacterial small subunit ribosomal RNA
Source: RNAcentral